ACGAUCGAUAAAACAGGUAUCGAUCGUUACUAUCGAUCGUUUAUAGUGGUUAAUGGUCUGCGAAAAGGCAGCUGAAUCUCUUCAUCAUGCAGAACGGAAUUGCACACAACGGACUGAUACUUCUCUGGCGGAUGAGAGAGGGGAAGCAUUUAUGUCCGGGAAAAACCACUUUAUCUGACCAUGCUGUUUUGUACCUGCCGGUAUCCACAUUUGUGGGUACCGGCUUUUUUAUUCACC
Small RNA from Citrobacter rodentium ICC168, 237 nucleotides. It matches the Rfam family "IS102 RNA". From Rfam's summary of the family: This family consists of a group of Shigella flexneri and Escherichia coli RNA genes which are 208 bases in length and are found between the yeeP and flu genes. The function of this RNA is unknown. The record is from Rfam. NCBI's taxonomy places the organism in Bacteria, Pseudomonadati, Pseudomonadota, Gammaproteobacteria, Enterobacterales, Enterobacteriaceae.